RNAcentral lists this unclassified non-coding RNA (348 nucleotides) under soil metagenome. RNAcentral's name for it is "partial contains 5.8S ribosomal RNA, internal transcribed spacer 2, and large subunit ribosomal RNA". The stretch from base 1 to 120 matches the Rfam family "5.8S ribosomal RNA", at positions 35 to 154 of the family's 154-position model. The record is from RNAcentral.
GAUGAAGAACGUAGCAAAAUGCGAUAAGUAAUGUGAAUUGCAGAAUUCAGUGAAUCAUCGAAUCUUUGAACGCACAUUGCGCCCGCUGGUAUUCCGGCGGGCAUGCCUGUUCGAGCGUCAUUUCAACCCUCAAGCCCCCGGGUUUGGUGUUGGGGAUCGGCUCUGCCCUUCUGGGCGGUGCCGCCCCCGAAAUACAUUGGCGGUCUCGCUGCAGCCUCCAUUGCGUAGUAGCUAACACCUCGCAACUGGAACGCGGCGCGGCCAUGCCGUAAAACCCCAACUUCUGAAUGUUGACCUCGGAUCAGGUAGGAAUACCCGCUGAACUUAAGCAUAUUAAUAAGCGGAGGA